GGGCAAGGAUCGGGUUUGCAUGCCAAUGUAUGAAAUAGUGAUAGACCCAACUGCAGUCUGGAUCCAGAUCUGGAUUUGCUUCCCAGGAGGUGUCUGCUGCUCUUCAUCACAGGCAGCCUGCACCCUUUUUUCAAUCACAUUCCAUAAGUAAAGGGUAUGACAGGCACCAGCCCGACAGCCUCAGGGGACGAGAGCCUCUUUAGCCACAGACCUGCUCAGGAGGGGCCUGCUCCAUGGAGGAAAGGGUUCUGUAUGUUCAGUCUCAAUGGCAAAAUAGACUGAGGGCUGGUUUACACCUGAGACUUAAGUGACUGAGCUACGUGGCUUGAAAAAUCCACCCCUCUGAAUGACGUAGUGAAGCCAGUCUAAGCCCCAGCGUAGGCAGCGCUAGGUCGAUGGGAGAAGCUGCUCAGGGAGGUGGAUUUACUACAAUGAUGGAACAACCCCUCCCCUCGCUGCAGUAAGUGUCUCCACUCCAGCACUGCAGCUGUGCUGCUGUAGCCUUUCUAGUGGAGACAUACCCAGGGACCCACCAACUCAAUUGACACAAACAGCCCUGAGAUAGUAACAGCUCCAAUCGCUUCUAGCUUGGGGCCAGAUUGGAACCAGGGACGUUAACGUGACAGGCUCUGUAGCCCAUUUUUACCAACCCAUCCAGUCCCCUUUUCGUUUUCUUUCCUUGCUUUUUUUUUUUUUGCUUUUUUUUUUGCAGCCUCUAAUGACAUGCAGGUAUCCAAAGAAUUGUAUGCCAGGGGUGAUGGGGGAAAUUUCCUGUGAUCUUUUCUCUCGAAGAAGAUUUGGAACAUUUUAAUAAAGUGGAUUAAGGACUCGGCCACAAAAGCAACCUGUUUCCCUCUGACGGAUGCUUUAAUCUUCUUUCUGGGCUGCUGACAAAGGCUUUUCUUAAAGAAAACUCAGGAGCACAAAAGGGAAAAUAAAAGAAAGAGAGCAUAGACCCAGAGAGGUGUGAGAUGUUGAAAGACACCCAUGAAUUGGAGCCACUUGGGUGUUAAUUGUGUUCUCUUUUCCAGGGGCCAGUUUUCCUCUUUCCUUGCCAAUUUCAGAUCAAUGACAGAGUCUGGUGAGCUGGGAUGAGGAAGGAAAAGACUUUGAUUAGAAAAUCUUAGUGGUAAAAAAGAUAUUGAACAAAAAGCUCCGUCGAUGAGCCACUCGAUACAACAAUUAAAAGUAUCUGAAGAGAGAUGACACCUCGCCAGACACAUGUGGGAGCCCAGCAGAAAUGCCUGCCAUUUCCGGCUGUUGCCCCAGGACACAAACAGGCACUAAUCAGCAAGAUCGAUGAUCCACUUGUGACAAAGGCAUGCUGGGAAAUUGGCCAGUGAGAAGGUCCCAUCGCCCUGCAGGACGGGGCCUGUGCCUGCUUUACUGUGGCUGAUGUGCGUCAUGCCCUGAGGAGGAACCAGCAGUGCAAAAUGUGGCCUUCAGAAAAGCAGAGCUGCUCCCAGUCCGGUACUUGUGGCAUUAUGAUCAUCUCCAUGGCAACCGAUUAUGAUGAUAUAAAUAAGCCCUUACGACAUCAUAUUGCACAGAGGAGAAGGAGCAAGAGAUGCACCACAAGGGGAAAAGCAAUUGUUAAAAUGCAGCCGAUCGCAGAUCAUUCUAACUCUCCACAAAGGAAGCAAUGACCUUAAAUUACAUGCAAAUA
Molecule: long non-coding RNA, 1666 nt
Organism: Mauremys reevesii (Reeves's turtle)
Lineage: Eukaryota; Metazoa; Chordata; Testudines; Geoemydidae
Exons: 3
Source: RefSeq, a predicted model, not a curated record